AGAGUUUGAUCCUGGCUCAGGAUGAACGCUGGCGGCAUGCCUAAUACAUGCAAGUCGAACGAGGAUCCUUGUGGAUCCUAGUGGCGAACGGGUGAGUAACACGUAGGGAACCUGCCCGCGCACCGGGAAUACGCUCUGGAAACGGAGAACAAAUCCCGAUGUACAGGAAGGAGGCAUCUUCUUUCUGUGAAACAUCCUGUAAGGGAUGGGGCGCGGAUGGACCUGCGGUGCAUUAGUUGGUUGGCGAGGGUAAAGGCCCACCAAGACGAUGAUGCAUAGCCGGCCUGAGAGGGCGGACGGCCACAUUGGGACUGAGACACGGCCCAGACUCCUGCGGGAGGCAGCAGUAGGGAAUUUUCGUCAAUGGGCGCAAGCCUGAACGGGCGAUGCCGCGUGAGUGAAGAAGGCCUUCGGGUCGUAAAGCUCUGUUGCGGGGGAAAAAAGGCAUCUGCAGGAAAUGGUAGAUGACAGAUGGUGCCCCGCCAGAAAGUCACGGCUAACUACGUGCCAGCAGCCGCGGUAAUACAUAGGUGGCGAGCGUUAUCCCGGAAUAGAUUGGCCGAAAAGG
This 568-nucleotide ribosomal RNA is filed under the name uncultured bacterium. RNAcentral's name for it is "bacterial SSU rRNA". It matches the Rfam family "Bacterial small subunit ribosomal RNA", at positions 8 to 566 of the family's 1533-position model. The record is from RNAcentral.